RNAcentral lists this ribosomal RNA (480 nucleotides) under uncultured bacterium. Its description in RNAcentral is "partial 16S ribosomal RNA". It matches the Rfam family "Bacterial small subunit ribosomal RNA", at positions 28 to 507 of the family's 1533-position model. The record is from RNAcentral.
GACGAACGCUGGCGGCGUGCUUAACACAUGCAAGUCGAACGAUGAAGAAAAGAAUUGAAGCUUCGGCAGAAAUUCAUUUCGGAUUAGUGGCAGACGGGUGAGUAACGCGUGAGCAACCUACCUCUUACAAAGGGAUAGCCUCGGGAAACCGGGAUUAAUACCAUAUAACAUUGCGACGAAGCAUUUCGAUGCAAUCAAAGCUACGGCGGUAAGAGAUGGGCUCGCGUCCCAUUAACCAGAUGGUGAGGUAACGGCUCACCAUAGUAACGAUGGGUAACCGGCCUGAGAGGGUGGACGGUCACACUGGAACUGAGACACGGUCCAGACUCCUACGGGAGGGAGCAGUGGGGAAUAUUGCACAAUGGAGGGAACUCUGAUGCAGCGACGACGCGUGAGUGAUGAAGGAAUUCGUUUCGUAAAACUCUGUUCUAUGGGAAGAAAAGGACUGUACCAUAGGAGAAAGCGCCGGCUAAAUACGUG